This 407-nucleotide long non-coding RNA is filed under the name Citrus x clementina. Its description in RNAcentral is "Citrus clementina (C. clementina) long non-coding RNA (CCLE_LNC006808)". Lineage: Eukaryota; Viridiplantae; Streptophyta; Magnoliopsida; Sapindales; Rutaceae. The record is from RNAcentral.
AUCUGAAAAAUGCAAGCACAAAAAAAUAAAUAAAUAAAGUCAAAGGAAAUUAAUGCAGAUCUAUCAUCCAAUAAUAUUUCAAACAACUUCUGUGAAAAGAAUGUAACUCGAUGGAAUUGGUGAUCAUCAAUGUUCCACCAACGAGAAAGCUGGCGAAUUUAGGUAAAUAGUUGAAAAUAAGUCCAGAAAUCAUGCUAUUGUUGGCUGAGGGAACUACUGUCUCCUUGUCAAUCUCAUAAUAUUUGCCUUGGCAUAUAUAGCAAGUAGAGGAUCUUACUCUAGUAUGUCUUAUUAAUAUUUUCUAAACUUUUCCAUGUAGCAGGUAAUCAACCUUAGUAGUUUGACAUUGCAAAUGAAAAUAAAUUCAACAUGAAAUAUACAAAGCAAAAAUACCUGUAACAGUAGAG